Long non-coding RNA from Phocoena sinus (vaquita), 3501 nucleotides. Lineage: Eukaryota; Metazoa; Chordata; Mammalia; Artiodactyla; Phocoenidae. The record is from Ensembl.
GCCGUACGCUCGUCGCAACUCCCGGCGCACGAAGUCCGGCAGAUUGAGGCCCGGCCGUAGCGUACGUUCCACGCGGCCCCAGUGCAGCUCAGCGUGCAGGCUGCUGCCUUCCGGCCACUGCGUCCCGCUCUCGACCGCCGCCCGACCCGCAUCUGCGGGCUCCUGAAGCGACGGCCCUGGGUAGCCGGGCGCUGGGAACGGCGGUUGCAGGGCCGCAGCGUAGGCCUGCGGGAAGGCCCACAAGGGCGGCGUGAUCACUAGCGUCGCGCCUGUGGCGUGGAAGCAGUGGUAUUCCCGCGGAGCCGCCCACUCGCCCGCGCUCAGGCUCAGGGGCCGGCUGCAGAAGUUGUGGGCCUGAAUGGGGGGCAGCAGCGGAGGGGCGGGCAGGUAGGUGUAGGUGAGGUGCUGCAGCAGAGGCCAGACGUCCUGCCCAGGCGCCAGGCAGCAGUAUGUAUACAUGGUGUGGAGCUCAGGCGGCCGGCAUUGCUACUGGGGCCUCGUCCUGGUCCAGACCUGGGGUGGGGGUGUGGGUGCACUUUGUUCUCAUCUCCACCACCGACCCUGGGGCCUGGUUACCCGGGGCGCUGGUUCACAGCAGGGGGCCCUGCACGUGUGCCGGAGUUCGGGGAACUCUUACUAAGGAGUUCAGCUCCCACCUCACCUCUUGUCCUAGGGCUGGACCCAAACCCCAGGCUCCCAGCAGGCAUGAAGGACCCAAGCCUUUUUCAAGCCCCCAGUCCUGAAAUGCUCUUCCCAGGUAGCUCCCUACUCACUUGCCUCCUUUAGCCUGGGGGAGCUGGUCCCCAGCAUUUGGGGGAACCAGAGAUAUCCAAGAGCGGGGCUCCUCUCCACCACUUUUUAGUUGAGCUGCUCUCCUCCAUGCCCUGCCUCAGCCGCACCUUCCGGUUUCCAGGCAAAGGGAAACACCUUGAGCUGGCCAGGAGCCAGCCAGCUUGUGUCUACACUGGGUGAGCCUGCUGGUCAUACCGGUUGCGAAUUAGACGCUGAGGUCUGUGCUCAGGGAUGCCCGCAACAUCACAGGACAUCCAGUGGCUUUUCCAGUCAAGUUAGCUCCCUGUUCUCCUCAUCCCCUUUUUCCACCCAGGUGGAGUUAUCCUAACAUUUGAGUGAAGCUCCUGCACACCAGGCACUGAAUCAAGUUGCUUAUGAGCAUCUAACUUCAAGUUUACAUCAACCUUAGGAAUGAGGUACUAAUAUUUUUCUGACUUUACAUAGCAAGAAGCAGCUUGCCUCAGAUUUGGUACACAAUAAAUGUAUUCUAUGACUGGGGCUUACAUAGGUUAAGUGUCUUGUCCAGACUCACACAGCUAGUUAUGGUAAGGGCAGAAUUCAACCCCGUGUCUGUCUCAAGACUUGUGCUCUCAACAAUAGCCUAAUCACCAAUCCAUGCUAGGGCUUCUUUUAGACUAUCUGACAGUCCUCCCUUCUAGAAUGUUACUUAAGAGCUUAUAACUUUUUUUUAAAAAGAACUUCUAAUUCAUAUUAGCCACAUGAAGAACAUGGUGGUAUCAUUCUCAUUUAAUAGAUGAGGAACAAGAGAUUCGGAGAAGUUAGGCCACUUUCCCAGGUUCACAUAGUCUAUAACUGGCACAGUGGGAUUUGAACCCAGUGCAAAUGAUUCCAAAGCCCAGAAGCUACUUGGGUGAAGCCACGAAGGUUGCUUCGUUCAGAUGGGUUGAGCACUGUCUGAGCUCCAGUCCCCUCUGGCUGCAGUUCAUGCCCUUCCACCUCUCUUCCCCAGUGGGUAGUAGUUGCUGGAUGAUUAAAAUGGAUACCCUCUUCCAGUUUCUAGGCCGCCAGGCCAUCAUACUUUCCUUCCCCUUCUGUUGACUUAAGCAGCAUCAUGACUAACCCCCCAUAGGUUCUCCUAGAUUCUCAGCAUCCCACAAAGCCCAGCUACCCUCUGAGGAGGUCCCCCACACUCAGCCUGGUGAUGUCACAUUUCUUUAUUCCUGACUGAGCCACUCUCUCAAGUCUAAUUCAGGGCAGUGGCCUAGUGAGAGCAGCUAGGACUAGGUUAUGGUAUGUAUCUAACGUGCCCUACCCAACAGCUCCAAGAAGGGAGCCUCUCCCUCUGUCCACUUAAGAACUGGUCCCAGGACAUAGUGACCUUUGUUGGGGGAGGCCUCCCACCCCCAAGAUGUCCAUGGCUUGAUCCCUGGAGACUUGUUAGUAUGUUAUAUUACAUGGCAAGGGGGAAUUAAGGUUGCAGAUGGUAUUAAGGUUGUUAAUUAGCAGUCCUUAAAAUAGAUUAUCCUGGAUUAUCUGGGUGGGCCCAGUGUAAUCACAGGAGUCAAAUGUGGAAGAGAGAGGCUGAAGAGUCAGCGUAUGUGAUAAUAAGAGUCAACUAGCUCUUGCUGGUUUUGAAGAUGAAAGGGGUCAUGAGCCAAGGAAUGCAGGCAGCCUCAAAGCUGGAAAAGGCAAGGAAGUGGAUUCUUCCCUAGACCCUCCAGAAAGGAAUGCAGUUCUGCCAACACCUUGACUUUAGUUUAUGAGACAGAAUUCCAACCUCCAAAACUGUAAUAGAUUUGUAUUAAGCCACUAAGUUUGUGGUUGUUAGAGCGUUAGUAGGAAAUUAAUAUACCUCCCCACUCCUAUUUAUAACUUUGCCCCCCCUCCAAAUCCCAGCACUUGAGGAAUGUCCAAAACUACCUAUUAUAGACUGACCUCACCCCAGCCUGGAGCUCAACGAUGGACCCUGUAUGACUGGCCAGUUUCUCCCCCAUGGGGAUCUGCUCAUACCUGGGUGGGAGAUGAGGAGAGUGUGAGACCAAGCUCAAGUUGGAGCCUGGGACAGUGAGAAGCCUGCGUUUUAAUAUUGGUUCUGACGUGCUUGCUGAGGGAGACUGGGGAGGCAGUCUUCAGGAAAAAUGAGAAAAAUAAGGACCAAGCUGUGAGUUUCUCAGCAUUCAUUCACCCUGAUUCCAGUAACAGCCCCCAGAUUUUUUGGGUCCCACACCUUAUUUACUCUCAGGAAAGUGGUUCUGGGGGAGUUGGCUCUAGCUCAUCCUUAAAUUACCUGGGUGAUUUAGGGCUAAACCAAUCAUCGCUGUCAUCCUUCUGGCCAUAGUGAUUGGUUUAGGGUAGCCAUGUGACUCAAUUUGGGCCAAUGGGAGCCAAGCCCAGGGCUUUGUUCUCUAAUUGCAUGGAGUGAAGAAGUGCUCUCUUCCCUGGACAGAGAUCUGAAAGAAUGCAGUUCUGGGUCCAGAGGUGGAGAUCUCUCUGAGCAUAGAGCUGCAGAAGAAGUGGAGCCAAGGGUCAGAGAGAGAAACUGGGUCCUGAUGACAUCGUUUGAAUCCUGGACUUUGAAGUUACAUAAGCCAAUAAAUCCCCUUUUUUCCCCGUCCGGUUUUAUUGAAAUAUAGUUGACAUACAGCACUGUAUAAGUUUAAGGUGCACAGCGUGAUGAUUUGACUUACAUAUACUAGGAAGUGAUUACCACAGUAGGUCUGGUUAACAUCCAUCAUCUCAUAUAGAUAC